This 253-nucleotide ribosomal RNA is filed under the name uncultured bacterium. RNAcentral describes it as "partial 16S ribosomal RNA". It matches the Rfam family "Bacterial small subunit ribosomal RNA", at positions 524 to 776 of the family's 1533-position model. The record is from RNAcentral.
AACGUAGGAGACAAACGUUAUCCGGAGUUACUGGGCGUAAAGGGCGUGCAGGCGGCAGUCUAAGUCUGGCGUGAAAUAUCCCGGCUUAACCGGGGAAGGUCGUCGGAUACUGGGCAGCUCGAGGGCGGUAGAGGCGUGUGGAAUUCCGGGUGUAGUGGUGAAAUGCGUAGAGAUCCGGAGGAACACCAGUGGCGAAGGCGACACGCUGGGCCGCACCUGACGCUAAGACGCGACAGCAUGGGGAGCGAACAGG